GAUGAACGCUAGCGGCAGGCUUAACACAUGCAAGUCGAGGGGUAUUGGUUUUCGGACCAAGAGACCGGCGCACGGGUGCGUAACGCGUAUGCAAUCUACCUUUUGCAGAGGGAUAGCCCCAGAGAAAUUUGGAUUAAUACCUCAUAGUAUAGUACUUUGGCAUCAAGGAACUAUUAAAGUCACAACGGCAAAAGAUGAGCAUGCGUCCCAUUAGCUAGUUGGUAAGGUAACGGCUUACCAAGGCUACGAUGGGUAGGGGUCCUGAGAGGGAGAUCCCCCACACUGGUACUGAGACACGGACCAGACUCCUACGGGAGGCAGCAGUGAGGAAUAUUGGACAAUGGGCGCAAGCCUGAUCCAGCCAUGCUGCGUGCAGGAUGACGGUCCUAUGGAUUGUAAACUGCUUUUAAUACAGGAAGAAACCCUCCCACGUGUGGGAGCUUGACGGUACUGUAGGAAUAAGGAUCGGCUAAUCCGUGCCAGCAGCCGCGGUAAAG
RNAcentral lists this ribosomal RNA (497 nucleotides) under uncultured bacterium. RNAcentral's name for it is "bacterial SSU rRNA". It matches the Rfam family "Bacterial small subunit ribosomal RNA", at positions 28 to 525 of the family's 1533-position model. The record is from RNAcentral.